This 398-nucleotide ribosomal RNA is filed under the name uncultured bacterium. Its description in RNAcentral is "partial 16S ribosomal RNA". It matches the Rfam family "Bacterial small subunit ribosomal RNA", at positions 361 to 774 of the family's 1533-position model. The record is from RNAcentral.
AUAUUGCACAAUGGAGGGAACUCUGAUGCAGCAACGCCGCGUGAGGGAAGAAGGAUUUCGGAUCGUAAAACUCUGUCAUUGGGGAAGAAUACAUGACGGUACCCAAUGAGGAAGCCCAGGCUCACUACGCGCCAACAGCAGCGGUAAUACGUAGGGGGAGAGCGUUGUCCGGAAUUACUGGGCGUAAAGGGUACGUAGGCGGCUAUAUAAGUCAGGUGUGAAAUACCAGUGCUUAACACUGGAAGUGCAUUUGAAACUGUGUAGCUUGAGUGCAGGAGAGGAAAGUGGAAUUCCUAGUGUAGCGGUGAAAUGCGUAGAGAUUAGGAGGAACACCAGUGGCGAAGGCGACUUUCUGGACUGUAACUGACGCUGAGGUACGAAAGCGUGGGUAGCGAACA